This 500-nucleotide ribosomal RNA is filed under the name uncultured bacterium. Its description in RNAcentral is "partial 16S ribosomal RNA". It matches the Rfam family "Bacterial small subunit ribosomal RNA", at positions 30 to 523 of the family's 1533-position model. The record is from RNAcentral.
AUUGAACGCUGGCGGAAUGCUUUACACAUGCAAGUCGAACGGCAGCACGGACUUCGGUUUGGUGGCGAGUGGCGAACGGGUGAGUAAUGUAUCGGAACGUGUCCAGUCGUGGGGGAUAACGUAGUGAAAAUUACGCUAAUACCGCAUACGAUCUAUGGAUGAAAGCGGGGGAUCGCAAGACCUCGCGCGAUUGGAGCGGCCGAUAUCAGAUUAGGUAGUUGGUGGGGUAAAGGCCCACCAAGCCAACGAUCUGUAGCUGGUCUGAGAGGACGACCAGCCACACUGGAACUGAGACACGGUCCAGACUCCUACGGGAGGCAGCAGUGGGGAAUUUUGGACAAUGGGCGAAAGCCUGAUCCAGCCAUUCCGCGUGCAGGAUGAAGGCCCUCGGGUUGUAAACUGCUUUUGUACAGAACGAAAAGGUUUCUACUAAUACUAGGAGCUCAUGACGGUACUGUAAGAAUAAGCACCGGCUAACUACGUGCCAGCAGCCGCCGUAA